Oncorhynchus kisutch (coho salmon) is the source of this 980-nucleotide long non-coding RNA. RefSeq lists it as uncharacterized. The record is from RefSeq and is a predicted model, not a curated record. The transcript is spliced from 3 exons. Lineage: Eukaryota; Metazoa; Chordata; Actinopteri; Salmoniformes; Salmonidae.
UGUGUGGGUGGACCACAUUCCCCAGUCCCAGGACACCUGCUUCUUUGUAGUGACUGGGUGUAUUGACACACAAUUCAAAGUGUAAUGAAAAACUUCACCAUGCUCAAAGGGAGGCUGUAACACAACAAAAUGUGGAAAAAGUCAAGAGGUGUGAAUAUUUUCUGAAGGGACUGUAAAUAGAUGGAGCACCAAUUCGCUAGCCUGGUUUUUUGAUCAUGCAUAGUGGGUCGUUCAAUGGAGUCAAGAGACUUAAUUUGAAAUGUUCAAAUAUGGAACCAAAGCGUUUGAACAUUUUUUGUUCUCAUCUGUUCAUGCACCAGAUUGGAAUGCAAAGUUUGUUUGCUCAAGGCCAGGAGAGAGACACUACAACUGGCCAACGGUGCCAAGUUUGGGCCGCAGACAUGAAGGGCCUGAAGUCGAAAGUGUGGCAGAUGCUACCUAGCCACGGAUGAGGGUCCAGAUUCAGGUCACCCGUUACCUGAAAGGGGCCUCUGAUUGUGAAUGUAGGAUCUGGCGGCACACAGGAGAGAGGAAUCUGCUGUAGUGAGAGUCACGUUUCGGACCACCUGUUUCAAAGCCAGCCUCUACCACAAUAUAACCACAAUACUGUUCCAACAGUUGAACCCUGGGCUGACUUUGCAACAUACCCCACCCACUCUUACCAUUUACUUUAAUAUUCUGUACACACUGAAAUUACUUUAUAGUGUACAGUAUCAUAGUACAGUACCCUCAAACACAAAUGUCCCACUACACCCGAUUUCCCACUAAUGCAGAUUUAUAGGCCUAGCCCACUUCUAGGACAAAGAACAAAACUGUUACUGUCAUUCACCAGUGUAAAAAACAUUUCUGGGGUUAAUUGAAAUUGACAACAAAAAAAAUGUAUACAAAUAUACUUAAUCAAAAUGAAUUCAAGUACUUUCAGUGAUUUGUUCAUUUAAUUUUACCCCAACAUUUUAGAAUAAAUCCAAUUUAAUAUGUUG